RNAcentral lists this long non-coding RNA (3027 nucleotides) under Anser brachyrhynchus (Pink-footed goose). RNAcentral's name for it is "lncRNA (ENSABRG00000016548.1)". Lineage: Eukaryota; Metazoa; Chordata; Aves; Anseriformes; Anatidae. The record is from RNAcentral.
AUGGUCUUUCUGCUUCCCAGAAUCACAGAACCACAAAAUGGUCAAGGCGGGAAGGGGCCUCUGGACAUCUGCUCCAACCCCUGCUCAAGCAGGGACACCCAGAGCAGGCUGCCCAGGACCGCGUCCUGGUGGCUUUUAGAGAUCUCCAAGGAGGAGACCCCACAUGAAGGUCUCUCUGAGCAGCAGCAUGGCCUUCUGGUGAAUCAGCCACUCCUCAUAAUUUUCUUCCCUCUCCAGACUCCAGAAAAAUUGGAUGCAGGUGGCCCAGAGCACUCUAGUGGGUUUCAAGUAGGAGAGGAAAGGAUGUUGAGCAGUGGGGUGGCUCAUUUCUACUCUGUAGAGACAUGCCAGAGACAUUUGUCAGAGGAGGAGGACUCACAGGUUUACUGUCGGAUUCUCACCCAGCAAGGACUGUGUCGGAGUCGUUCCAGGACAAACAUCCUUGGUGGCCUGCAAGACACUGUUGAGAACCUGCAGCAGAGCCAUUCAGCCUCUGGAGUGUGCCAGCUUUCCCCUCUGGGACAUGAGGUUUCUGCUCAUACUGGACUGCGCUCCACAUGCUGCGUUUUUGCACAGGGCACAUUCCUGACAAACACGGUAAGCAGCAAACACCUUGGGACUGGGCGUCCAAAGCAAUUCACGUAUUGCUAUGUGCUUGGAUACACCAACCCUGUACCUAGGUGUGAGGUGCAAGUAGGAGUACCUCUUUUUCCCUGCUCCCAGUCAUAUCAUGUAACAUCAAAGCAAAAGUCGCUUAGCUUAAAAUCAUGGAAUCAACUAGGCUGGAAAAGACCUUCAAGAUCAUCAAGUCAAACCAUCAACCUGACCUAUCGAGUCCCAUCACUAAACUACGUCCCUAAGUGUCACAUCCACACACCUCUUAAACACCUCCGGGGAUGGUGACUCCACCUUUUCCCUGGGCAGCCUGUUGCUUGACCGUCCUCUCCAUGAAGAAAUUGUUCCUAAUACCCAUUCUGAGCCUCCCCAGUGCACUUGAGACUAUUUCUUCAUGUUCUGUCACUUGUCACCUGAGAAAAGAGACCAACACCCUCCUUGCUGCCGCCUCAUAGAAUCAUUGAAUCAUAAAGGUUGGAAAAGACCUCCAAGAUCAUCUGGUCCAACCAUCCCCUUACCACCUCCUUUCAGGUAGUUGUGGAGAGUGAUGAGGUCUCCACUCAGCCUCCUCCAUACUAAAUAACCCCAAUUCCCACAAUCAAUCUUCAUAUGUCUUGUCUUCUAGUCCUUUCACCAGCUUCAUUGCUCUUCUCUGCACACACUCAGGCAGCUCAGGAUCCUCCUUACAGCGAGGGGCCCAAAACCAAGCACAGCAUUCUAGGUACGAUCUCACCAGUGCCACGUACAAGGGGACAAUCCCUUCCCUAGUCCUGCUGAGCACACUAUUUCUGGUGCACACCAGGAUGCCUUUCUUGGCCACCUGUGCACACUGAUGGCUCAUGCUCAGCCAGCUGUAGACCUGCACCCCCGGGUCCUUUUCUGCAGCUUCAUCUUUUCUGGCUUUCCUCCUCAUUGAUCUUCUUUUCAGGGCAACUCCAUUUGCUUUUCCCAUAAAAUGAUGAACUUUUAUGCCACCAUAUUGACAUGUAAAAAUGUCCUCAACCAAUCAACGUCUUACUGGGCUGCUAUGGCCAUUCCUCCAUUUCCUCAUGGGAAACAGAGCCAACCCAAACUUUUACUUGUGCAGACACCACUGUCCUUCAUUAGUAUCAUAACGAGAGGCCCUCCCUCUUCCUCAGGACCUCCAGUAACAAAGAAGUCAAUGGCCAGCACUGGGUCUGGAGACAGGCAUAUGGAGAUUAACUCAACCCCGUCACGUCCCCGUAACAUCAGUGAUGCCUCUUCCAGAACUGCAGUUUCUCCUUUACCAAAGUCACUUCUUAUUUGCAGUGACUUGCUCAGCCCAGAGGAGCACCUAGCCACCUGGAGUCUCUUGGCUGUUUCCAGAGCUUAUUACUGGAUGCACAUUAGAAAUCGCCUAAUCUCCUCAAAAAACAAGAUCUAGGAUUAAUGUGAUGUGGGUUUAUUUUAGGCACCAUUCUUCCUCCUGAAGCCCUGGCCUGUAGGGACAGAAAUGAUGUAGAAAUCUUUUUGUUUUCAAUGAGCAUAUGCAUGCGUAGAGCCAAGUUUUCAAACAAAAUCAGCUUAAAAAUUCCAGGGUUUGAUUGUCUUCUUGGAACGUAAUUUGUCCCUGCAUAAUCACACCUUCCCAGAGAGUCUCAGCAGGUGGAUGUGUUCAGGCCUCCGCUGCCUCCAGGCUCUCUGUCCCCCUGCACUCUUGUCUCCGUGGGUCUCUACAUCCCAGGUUUCUCUGUGAAGGCCCGUGGUAACACACAAUUUACUGACUUGCAAGUAACCCAGAAAUUCAAAUAGCAUCCUCAGCAGUGGGGGGGAAGAAAAAAAAAAAAAAAGAACCAGCUUAUCUUCAACUUCUGUGAUAAAUCAAAAAUCACAAAAUUUAAUAAGAAAGCCUGUUAAAGCUUACUCCUUUGUAUUCACAAGUUUCUCUCCACAGAAACCUAUAAUAACUACAGCAGGUUUCUUUUCUGCUACAUAAACUUGGAAAACAAAAAUCAAAGAGUAGAUCUGCAGCACAGAAGAUGAAGGAUUUGCUUGUCAGAAGCCUGCCUACAUCCACAGCAGAUUUGUUAGCUGGGCACUCUGAGAACAGGCUUGGCUUAACACUGCAGUGUUACAGUACCAAGCUUGGUACCUGCCUCGGAAAUGCCAUUUCUCUGCUGCAAGCUCUGCCUUUCCACUUCAUGUAGAGAUGCUACCCAGAUGUGGGGUACUUAUUGCUUUCAGUGUCCUCUGCACUGCUUAGAUAUGACUUUCCGUGCCAUGUUUCAUUUAAUUGAUGAAUUAAAUUAUGAAUUAACAAUCUCUUUUAAUUUCUUCAUUGCAAGAACACCUUCCUGCCUCCUCAGACCACACCGCGUUUCUGAGCUGCCCAGAUGCCUUUUGGGACAGCACCACAGACAAGACAAUAAAUAAAUAACACAGAGGUGCCCA